AUGUUUCCGUUAAUCAAGAACGAAAGUUAGAGGUUCGAAGGCGAUCAGAUACCGCCCUAGUUCUAACCAUAAACGAUGCCAGCCAGCGAUCCGCCGAAGUUCCUCCGAUGACUCGGCGGGCAGCUUCCGGGAAACCAAAGCUUUUGGGUUCCGGGGGAAGUAUGGUUGCAAAGCUGAAACUUAAAGGAAUUGACGGAAGGGCACCACCAGGAGUGGAGCCUGCGGCUUAAUUUGACUCAACACGGGAAACCUCACCAGGCCCGGACACCGGAAGGAUUGACAGAUUGAGAGCUCUUUCUUGAUUCGGUGGGUGGUGGUGCAUGGCCGUUCUUAGUUGGUGGAGCGAUUUGUCUGGUUAAUUCCGGUAACGAACGAGACUCUAGCCUGCUAAAUAGACGAUUUCCGGUAUCCACAAUAGUGCUACCGGCGAAAUCAAUAUCUUCUUAGAGGGACAGGCGGCUUUCAGCCGCACGAAACUGAGCAAUAACAGGUCUGUGAUGCCCUUAGAUGUCCUGGGCCGCACGCGCGCUACACUGAAGGAAUCAGCGUGUCUACCCUGGCCGAAAGGCUCGGGCAACCCGUUGAACCUCCUUCGUGCUAGGGAUUGGGGCUUGCAAUUGUUCCCCAUGAACGAGGAAUUCCCAGUAAGCGCGAGUCAUAAGCUCGCGUUGAUUACGUCCCUGCCCUUUGUACACACCGCCCGUCGCUACUACCGAUUGAAUGAUUUAGUGAGGUCUUCGGACUGGUGCGCGGCGGCCGCCUCGCGCGGGCGCCGAUGCCACCGGGAAGAUGACCGAACUUGAUCAUUUAGAGGAAGUAAAAGUCGUAACAA
RNAcentral lists this ribosomal RNA (832 nucleotides) under Baeturia cf. nasuta 01.PG.CH.HAI.01. RNAcentral describes it as "SSU rRNA". It matches the Rfam family "Eukaryotic small subunit ribosomal RNA", at positions 964 to 1797 of the family's 1831-position model. Lineage: Eukaryota; Metazoa; Arthropoda; Insecta; Hemiptera; Cicadidae. The record is from RNAcentral.